This 449-nucleotide ribosomal RNA is filed under the name uncultured bacterium. RNAcentral describes it as "partial 16S ribosomal RNA". It matches the Rfam family "Bacterial small subunit ribosomal RNA", at positions 329 to 798 of the family's 1533-position model. The record is from RNAcentral.
AUCCAGACUCCUACGGGAGGCAGCAGUGGGGGAUAUUGCACAAUGGGGGGAACCCUGAUGCAGCGACGCCGCGUGGGUGAAGAAGCGCCUCGGCGCGUAAAGCCCUGUCAGCAGGGAAGAAAAUGACGGUACCUGAAGAAGAGGCCCCGGCUAACUACGUGCCAGCAGCCGCGGCAAUACGUAGGGGGCAAGCGUUAUCCGGAUUUACUGGGUGUAAAGGGGGCGCAGACGGCGAUGCAAGCCAGGAGUGAAAGCCCGGGGGCCAACCCCGGGACGGCUCUUGGAACUGCGUGGCUAGAGUGCAGGAGGGGCAGGCGGAAUUCCUGGGGUAGCGGUGAAAUGCGUAGAUAUCAGGAGGAACACCGGUGGCGAAGGCGGCCUGCUGGACUGCAACUGACGUUGAGGCCCGAAAGCGUGGGGAGCAAACAGGAUUAGAUACCCGAGUACAC